UACGAGAUGUGCGAGCGUUGUUCGGAAUUACUGGGCAUAAAGGGUGCGUAGGCGGCCGAAUAAGUCAGGCGUGAAAUCCCGCGGCUCAACCGUGGAAUUGCGCUUGAUACUGUUUGGCUUGAGGACGGGAGGGGCAAGCGGAAUUCCAGGUGUAGCGGUGGAAUGCGUAGAGAUCUGGGAGAACGCCGACGGCGAAGGCAGCUUGCUGGAACGUUUCUGACGCUGAGGCACGAAAGCUAGGGGAG
RNAcentral lists this ribosomal RNA (245 nucleotides) under uncultured bacterium. RNAcentral's name for it is "partial 16S ribosomal RNA". It matches the Rfam family "Bacterial small subunit ribosomal RNA", at positions 524 to 768 of the family's 1533-position model. The record is from RNAcentral.